Molecule: long non-coding RNA, 1825 nt
Organism: Cyprinus carpio (common carp)
Lineage: Eukaryota; Metazoa; Chordata; Actinopteri; Cypriniformes; Cyprinidae
Source: Ensembl
AAAAAAUUAAAAAUCUUUACUUUACAAAGUACUUAUUAUUCAGUGCUUUACAGUGGAAUGACUGUAAAUUACAGUGGUUUUGUUUCUCUGCUGUGUUGUGAUUUCCCAUCAGUCACAUGACCCGUAUCUGAGAUCAUAUCUCUGAUAUCUCAUAGCUUAUGUGUUAAAUACUUUCAGUUUUGUUUUGAUGCCUGAUCAAAAGGUUAAAUUGGAACAUUUACCAUGUUCAGAUGGCUGAAUAUGCUGCUGCUGUUUUGCUUUAUCAAUUAUAGAGAAACAACCAUAGGAAAUAUCCUUAUACACGUGACAGGACAAAAAGGAGAAGAUGUCACCCUGCCAUGUGAUAUUCAAGCCAGAGAGAUUUUUCAUUUCAUUUUAACCAGUCUGUCAAAAAGCAUCUUUGUUUGUCAGAAUGAAGAGUGUACGAGUAGCCGAGUAUUUAAAAAAGGAGCCUGUGACAUCAUCAUCAAGGAUCUGAGACUGAGUGAUGCUGGGAAAUACAUUUUGAGAGUCCAUUACAAUAAUACUGCAGAGCCACAAAUCAGGGAGUACCAUCUUCAAAUUCAAGAUGAAAUUUCUGUGAAAACAGGCGAGCAGGUGAAGUUGGAUGUUUUGUUUUCCCGUGCUGAUAAAGUAGAGACAAACUCCAGUGGAGAGUGGAGGGAGGUGUGGAAGAGAGGUCAUGGGGUCUGGAGUGAACGAAUGACUGACCGUGAUGGGAACUUGACCAUUAAAGAGUUUACAUCCAAUGAUACAGGAACAUACAGGGUUCUGGACUCUGAAGGAGAAAUCUUGAUCACAGUGACUGUCACAGAAUCUAGUACAGAAUCUGACUCAAAGAGGACAGAUGAUGACAAACCUUAUGACUCUGAACAGCAUAGUAAGUAGAACAGGAGUCAUUGAGAACUUUACAAAAUAUUUAAGUGAGUUUAAAAAAGAAAAAACAAAAAUGUAUCUUUUCACCUUCCAGCUGUAAAGAUUGUGAUUGGUGUACUGACUGUGUUUGGAGUUCUGGGGGUUCUGGCUCUUAUAAUUUUUGUAAGAAAAAUUAUAAACCUACCUGCAAAUGGAGGUUUCUUGCCAGUCCGCUGGAUAAGAGGGACACCUGAAGACUCAUAAUAUUCUCUCCUGAGGUACAUCUCUGCCAUUGCAGAACAUCUACUGGUGUUCAUCAACUGGUUACUUGAAAUUCACCUUCAGAGCCAACAGAUCAACACAGGAUUCUGUCAACAUACCGAAUGUCUGCAAUGUGUGCAAUAGUUAUCAGCUGUAAAUGUGAAACUGACAAUAUCGACAUUAUCUAAACGCCACUUCAGAUGCAGCUUCUGUGCCAAAGAUGGAUUUUGUUGAUUUCUUUUGAUUUGUAACAGCCUAAUUGUGUCUUAUACUAACUUAUUAUGGAUUAAAUGUAGGAAUUUGUCAUAAAAGAUAAUGCCUUUAUCUAAACAGGUUGGACAAAAUGCCCAUAUAAAGAUAAAAAAAUGCCCCGGGAAAUUAAUUUAAGAGAGAAAAUGUUACAUUUAAUGCAGAUAAGAAUAUGAAAAGCUUUUUUUGUAAGACAGGCCUAAACCAGUCAAGACAAACCAGCACAAAAACUCUAAGCAAAAUAUCAUCUAAUUAUCAUUAUCAACAAAAUGCCAGAAAAUACUGAGAUAUCAUAUGUGCGUAACUGAGAACAAUAUUUAAUAUGUAUGCUUUGUACAAAUGUGUUGAAAAAAUAUGUCAAGAUGAGGAAGAAUGUGUCCAAAGUUAAGUCUGUGUUCCUGACAAGUUAAACAACUUAUUCUUAUUUUAAGAAAAAAUAAACUAGGUCGAAAAAAAAACA